GGGUGCGAUCAUACCCGCACUAAUGCACCGGAUCCCAUCAGAACUCCGCAGUUAAGCGCUCAUGGGCGAUAGUCGUACUAGGAUGGGCGACUUCUUAGAAAGUCCUCGUGUUGCACCCC
This is a non-coding RNA of Gossypium raimondii (Peruvian cotton), 119 nucleotides long. The record is from Rfam. Lineage: Eukaryota; Viridiplantae; Streptophyta; Magnoliopsida; Malvales; Malvaceae.